This 255-nucleotide ribosomal RNA is filed under the name uncultured bacterium. Its description in RNAcentral is "partial 16S ribosomal RNA". It matches the Rfam family "Bacterial small subunit ribosomal RNA", at positions 524 to 777 of the family's 1533-position model. The record is from RNAcentral.
UACGGGGGGAGCAAGCGUUGUUCGGAUUUACUGGGCGUAAAGGGCGCGUAGGCGGUCAGCACAAGUCAGUUGUGAAAUCUCCGGGCUUAACUCGGAAAGGUCAACUGAUACUGUGCGACUAGAGUGCAGAAGGGGCAACUGGAAUUCUCGGUGUAGCGGUGAAAUGCGUAGAUAUCGAGAGGAACACCUGCGGCGAAGGCGGGUUGCUGGGCUGACACUGACGCUGAUGCGCGAAAGCCAGGGGAGCGAACGGGG